AACAUAAUUCUUGAUAGAUCAUAAUGCCUGGAAUGGUUUAUGGUUAAAAUGAUUCGUCGCCAUAGGAUGGGACUGCGGCCUAUCAGCUUGUUGGUGAGGUAAUGGCCCACCAAGGCGAUUACAGGUACGGGCUCUGAGAGGAGAAGCCCGGAGAUGGGUACUGAGACAAGGACCCAGGCCCUAUGGGGCGCAGCAGGCGAGAAAACUUUGCAAUGUGCGAAAGCACGACAAGGUUAAUCCGAGUGAUUUCUGCUAAAGAAAUCUUUUGCCAGUCAUAAAACCACUGGUGAAUAAGGGGUGGGCAAGUUCUGGUGUCAGCCGCCGCGGUAAAACCAGCACCUCAAGUUGUCAGGAUGAUUAUUGGGCCUAAAGCAUCCGUAGCCGGCUUUGUUAGUUUUCGGUUAAAUCCAUGUGCUCAACGCAUGGG
RNAcentral lists this ribosomal RNA (427 nucleotides) under uncultured archaeon. RNAcentral's name for it is "bacterial SSU rRNA". It matches the Rfam family "Archaeal small subunit ribosomal RNA", at positions 143 to 570 of the family's 1478-position model. The record is from RNAcentral.